CCCCUCUGAUCCUGACCCCUCAGAUCUGAACCCUGCUCUGAGUUAGAAAGGAGGAAAAGCAAAAACUGAAGUGGACUUGGGUUCUUUAGUGAGCUAUAAGAAGUUCAUUUCAAACAAAA
Molecule: small nucleolar RNA, 119 nt
Filed under: Echinops telfairi (small Madagascar hedgehog)
Lineage: Eukaryota; Metazoa; Chordata; Mammalia; Afrosoricida; Tenrecidae
Description: Small nucleolar RNA SNORA61 (ENSETEG00000025785.1)
Source: RNAcentral